Molecule: ribosomal RNA, 429 nt
Filed under: Chloroflexota bacterium
Lineage: Bacteria; Bacillati; Chloroflexota
Description: Chloroflexi bacterium partial 16S ribosomal RNA
Rfam family: Bacterial small subunit ribosomal RNA
Source: RNAcentral
UAGGGAAUCUUCGGCAAUGGACGAAAGUCUGACCGAGCAACGCCGCGUGAGUGAAGAAGGUUUUCGGAUCGUAAAACUCUGUUGUUAGAGAAGAACAAGGACGUUAGUAACUGAACGUCCCCUGACGGUAUCUAACCAGAAAGCCACGGUUAACUACCUGCCAGCAGCCGCGGUAAUACGUAGGUGGCAAGCGUUGUCCGGAUUUAUUGGGCGUAAAGCGAGCGCAGGCGGUUUCUUAAGUCGGAUGUGAAAGCCCCCGGCUCAACCGGGGAGGGUCAUUGGAAACUGGGAGACUUGAGUGCAGAAGAGGAGAGUGGAAUUCCAUGUGUAGCGGUGAAAUGCGUAGAUAUAUGGAGGAACACCAGUGGCGAAGGCGGCUCUCUGGUCUGUAACUGACGCUGAGGCUCGAAAGCGUGGGGAGCAAACAGG